Molecule: long non-coding RNA, 201 nt
Filed under: Capsicum annuum
Lineage: Eukaryota; Viridiplantae; Streptophyta; Magnoliopsida; Solanales; Solanaceae
Description: long non-coding RNA (CANN_LNC017016)
Source: RNAcentral
AGCUGCAAUUUAUCAGAUUUUGGGAUGCUAGAAACGUGAAAAUUUUUCAAGGAAAAAAUGUACUUAUAGAGUUAGUUAUGCAAUAGGUGAAAGAUGUAAUUAUGGGGAGAUUAGAGCCAUUGCUACCUACUAAGCUGGGAAGGUAGAAUGCUUAUUUGAUACAAACUAUAUGUAAUUAGGUAAUUUGAUUGAGACUCGCAG